UCUCGUCUAGCUUAUUUUUAAAGCACUAGUUUGAAGAGCUGGGGAAAUAAUUGUUUAUGGGGGAGAG
Molecule: transfer RNA, 67 nt
Filed under: Paragonimus heterotremus
Lineage: Eukaryota; Metazoa; Platyhelminthes; Trematoda; Plagiorchiida; Troglotrematidae
Description: tRNA-Phe
Source: RNAcentral